Molecule: long non-coding RNA, 696 nt
Filed under: Prunus dulcis (almond)
Lineage: Eukaryota; Viridiplantae; Streptophyta; Magnoliopsida; Rosales; Rosaceae
Description: sRNA ncRNA
Source: RNAcentral
UAAUUUUCUCUCUAGGAGAAUUUCUCUUUGCUCUCUUUCUCUUCACACACUCACCCUCUUUCUUCCUUCCCUUCAUCUUCUCUCAUUUCAUCUCACAUUACAAGCAAAUAGAAUGCCUAUUUAUAGGCAAAGCAAAUGGCUUGGUUUGGUGGGUGUGUGAUUUGGUUUGGUAGGUAUGAGGUUUGGUUUGAUGGGUGUGUGGUUUGAUUUGGUGGGUGUGUGGUUUGAUUUUGUGUUCAACUUGAAUGUUAGAGCAUGUGUUGAACUUGAAUGUUAGUUUGCAAUGUGGGCUUCACCCAUUUUACAACACUCCCCCUUGGAGACCACAUGUCCCUAGAUUGGUUGCCUCAUUAAAACCUUGCUUGGAGAAAACCUAGUGAGGUAGAAAACUGAUGGAAGGAAGAAAGAAGAGUAUAACAAUCUGUAUAGCAUACUUCUGGAUGCUCCCCCUGAUUAAUAUCUCCCCCUGAUGUCUUUAUGACUCUCUUUUGGAGUGAGAAUCUUUUGGAGUGAGUGGAGGAUGUAGCCAUUAAUAAUUCUCGUAGUUGAGUAAGUAAAUAUAUUUCCAGUGAGCUAUCUCUAUGUGAAUCAUAAAAUUUUUCAGAGUCCGCGUUUCCAGCAAAACUUGGGCUAUUUGUAAGUUCACUUGAAAGAAUAUGCCCGUACAUAGUGUUAUGCGGAAAUAGCAUCAAAUAU